UACAGAGGGUGCGAGCGUUAAUCGGAAUUACUGGGCGUAAAGGGCGCGUAGGCGGCGCGAGAAGUCGAGUGUGAAAGCCCCGGGCUCAACCUGGGAAUUGCGCUCGAUACUCUUGUGCUUGAGUUCGGGAGAGGAGCGUGGAAUUCCCAGUGUAGAGGUGAAAUUCGUAGAUAUUGGGAAGAACACUGGUGGCGAAGGCGGCGCUCUGGGCCGAUACUGACGCUGAGGAGCGAAAGCGUGGGGAGCGAACAGG
RNAcentral lists this ribosomal RNA (253 nucleotides) under uncultured bacterium. Its description in RNAcentral is "partial 16S ribosomal RNA". It matches the Rfam family "Bacterial small subunit ribosomal RNA", at positions 524 to 776 of the family's 1533-position model. The record is from RNAcentral.